CGUACCGUCAGUCUAUCAUGCAGUCGACGACUCUGGUAUUGAUUGGUGCUUGCAUCAUGAUUUACAUUUGAGUGAGUGGCGAACUGGUGAGUAACACGUGGGAAACCUGCCCAGAAGCGGGGGAUAACACCUGGAAACAGAUGCUAAUACCGCAUAACAACUUGGACCGCAUGGUCCGAGUUUGAAAGAUGGCUUCGGCUAUCACUUUUGGAUGGUCCCGCGGCGUAUUAGCUAGAUGGUGGGGUAACGGCUCACCAUGGCAAUGAUACGUAGCCGACCUGAGAGGGUAAUCGGCCACAUUGGGACUGAGACACGGCCCAAACUCCUACGGGAGGCAGCAGUAGGGAAUCUUCCACAAUGGACGAAAGUCUGAUGGAGCAACGCCGCGUGAGUGAAGAAGGGUUUCGGCUCGUAAAACUCUGUUGUUAAAGAAGAACAUAUCUGAGAGUAACUGUUCAGGUAUUGACGGUAUUUAACCAGAAAGCCACGGCUAACUACGUGCCAGCAGCCGCGGUAAUACGUAGGUGGCAAGCGUUGUCCGGAUUUAUUGGGCGUAAAGCGAGCGCAGGCGGUUUUUUAAGUCUGAUGUGAAAGCCUUCGGCUCAACCGAAGAAGUGCAUCGGAAACUGGGAAACUUGAGUGCAGGAGAGGACAGUGACUCCAUGUGUAGCGUGAAUGCGUAGAUAUAUGGAAGAACACCAGUGGCGAAGCGCUGUCUGGGUCUGUAAACUGACGCUGAGGCUCGUAUAGUAUGGGGUUAAGCAAACAGGGAUUAGAUACCCUGGUAGUCCAUACCGUAAACGAUGAAUGCUAAGUGUUGGAGGGUUUCCGCCCUUUCAGUGCUGCAGCUAACGCAUUAAGCAUUCCGCCUGGGGAGUACGGCCGCAAGGCUGAAACUCAAAGGAAUUGACGGGGGCCCGCACAAGCGGUGGAGCAUGUGGUUUAAUUCGAAGCUACGCGAAGAACCUUACCAGGUCUUGACAUACUAUGCAAAUCUAAGAGAUUAGACGUUCCCUUCGGGGACAUGGAUACAGGUGGUGCAUGGUUGUCGUCAGCUCGUGUCGUGAGAUGUUGGGUUAAGUCCCGCAACGAGCGCAACCCUUAUUAUCAGUUGCCAGCAUUAAGUUGGGCACUCUGGUGAGACUGCCGGUGACAAACCGGAGGAAGGUGGGGAUGACGUCAAAUCAUCAUGCCCCUUAUGACCUGGGCUACACACGUGCUACAAUGGAUGGUACAACGAGUUGCGAACUCGCGAGAGUAAGCUAAUCUCUUAAAGCCAUUCUCAGUUCGGAUUGUAGGCUGCAACUCGCCUACAUGAAGUCGGAAUCGCUAGUAAUCGCGGAUCAGCAUGCCGCGGUGAAUACGUUCCCGGGCCUUGUACACACCGCCCGUCACACCAUGAGAGUUUGUAACACCCAAAGUCGGUGGGGUAACCUUUUAGGAACCAGCCGCCUAAGGUGGGACAGAUGAUAGGGUGAAGUCGAAUCUAGUAGGAUGC
Molecule: ribosomal RNA, 1498 nt
Filed under: Lactiplantibacillus plantarum
Lineage: Bacteria; Bacillati; Bacillota; Bacilli; Lactobacillales; Lactobacillaceae
Description: bacterial SSU rRNA
Rfam family: Bacterial small subunit ribosomal RNA
Source: RNAcentral